CUAGAAUAAAAGUAGUUAUAUUCUUCAUAACUCAAAGAAUUUGGCGGUUAAUAAAAGUUUUUAGAGGAACCUGUAUUUUAAUUGAUAAUCCACGAUAGUUUAUACCUAAAAAUUUAUUUGUAUAUCUCUAUGGUUAUAUAGAUUGUUCUUAAAAGAAAUUUUCUUUAUGCUUAUACAUGUAUUUUAGGUCAAGGUGCAGUUUUUUUUAGGGAAAUAUGGGUUACAUUAUUAAUAAUAUUUUGAUCAUAAUUUAUAUUUAUAUAUAAAUAUGCUUAGGAUUUAAAAGUAAAAUAAUUUAAUUUGUUUGUUUGAAUUUU
Molecule: ribosomal RNA, 317 nt
Filed under: Guayaquila emarginata
Lineage: Eukaryota; Metazoa; Arthropoda; Insecta; Hemiptera; Membracidae
Description: partial 12S small subunit ribosomal RNA
Source: RNAcentral